Caenorhabditis elegans is the source of this 97-nucleotide small nucleolar RNA. The record is from Ensembl. NCBI's taxonomy places the organism in Eukaryota, Metazoa, Nematoda, Chromadorea, Rhabditida, Rhabditidae.
AUGACAAAGCGAGAGAGUGAGAGAAGCAGUUGAUCAUGUGAUUCCACUGAUUCAAUUCAGUGUGGACGUGAGUGAACUUGCACUUUUCUGAUGGUUA